UGGGGAAUCUUGCGCAAUGGGCGAAAGCCUGACGCAGCCAUGCCGCGUGAGUGAUGAAGGCCUUAGGGAUGUAAAACUCUUUCACCGGGGACGAUAAUGACGGUACCCGGAGAAGAAGCCCCGGCUAACUUCGUGCCAGCAGCCGCGGUAAUACGAAGGGGGCUAGCGUUGCUCGGAAUUACUGGGCGUAAAGGGCGCGUAGGCGGAUCAGCAAGUUGGGGGUGAAAGCCCGGGGCUCAACCUCGGAAUUGCCUUCAAAACUGCUGAUCUAGAGUACGGGAGAGGUGUGUGGAACUCCGAGUGUAGAGGUGAAAUUCGUAGAUAUUCGGAAGAACACCAGUGGCGAAGGCGACACACUGGCCCGUUACUGACGCUGAGGCGCGAAAGCGUGGGGAGCAAACAGGAUUAGAUACCCUGGUAGUCCACGCUGUAAACGAUGAUUGCUAGUUGUCGGCAGGCAUGCCUGUCGGUGGCGCAGCUAACGCAUUAAGCAAUCCGCCUGGGGGAGUACGGUCGCAAGAUUAAAACUCAAAGGAAUUGACGGGGGUCAUAGCUGUUUCC
RNAcentral lists this ribosomal RNA (561 nucleotides) under uncultured bacterium. RNAcentral describes it as "partial 16S ribosomal RNA". It matches the Rfam family "Bacterial small subunit ribosomal RNA", at positions 355 to 933 of the family's 1533-position model. The record is from RNAcentral.